This 939-nucleotide long non-coding RNA is filed under the name Homo sapiens (human). RNAcentral's name for it is "HSALNT0137813". Lineage: Eukaryota; Metazoa; Chordata; Mammalia; Primates; Hominidae. The record is from RNAcentral.
GAACUAUUACAUGCCCUGAGAUACAGAAGCACGCAAGACCAACAAGAUCCAUGAGCUUACAUUUGAAGGCAAAGAAAGCUGGAAAAUCUUAUGAAAUCUCUCCCCUGUGAGAAACCAGCCACCAUGUUGUAAGCAGCCCUGUGGCGAGACCCACAUGAGGAAGACCAGGGCUUGCCAACAUCCUCUGAAUGCACGUGGAAACAGAUCUCUGUCCCUCCCCUCAAGGCCCAGCUGUGCAUCCAAAUGAGAUCACAGCCUUUGUUGACAGCUUGACAGUCUCCUCAUGAGCCAGAGAAAUCAGCUAGGUGACUCUCAGAUUUCAGACGCACAGAAACUGUGAGAUAAUAAAUGCUUAUUGCUUUAAAUGCUAAAUUUUUGGGGUUAUUGAUUAUGCAGCAAUAGAUAAGAUAGAUGAAGUGUGCAAUGGGAAUGAUAAAUUCUACAGUGGGCCCUAGGUCACUGUAAACAGGAGCCACAGUGAUAUAAUCCCAAGUCUCCAGUGUGGCAUGAGGCUGAGAGCAUACUAGGGUUUAUCUAACUUCUUGGUUUUGAGUUUCUUUCCAUUUCCCUAGGCUGAGGCUAAAUUGGGAUUUGCUAUGGUGAGAAUGUGUCUUCUAAAUUUCAUGUAUUGGAAACUUUCCCCAAAUUUAUAUAUUAAUGAUAUUUGGAGGUAGGACUUUUGAGAGAUAACUAGGAUUAGAUAAGGUCAUAAAAGUGGGGUCUCCAUGAUGAGACUCAAGGCUUUAUAAAAAGAGGAGGAAGGAACUGAGUUGACGUGCUCUUGCCCUCUCGCCAUGUGGUACCUUCUGCCAUGUUAUGACACAUUAAGAAGGCCUUCAUCAGAUGCGGCUCCUUGAUUUUGGACUUCCUAGCCUCCAGACUGUAAGAAAUAAACUUGUUUUCUUUAUAAAUUACCCAGUCUAUUGUAUUCUGUCAUAG